AUUCAAAUACCACGCAGGCAAUGAUAGAAACGGAGUCAAGUUUGGGCCGGGAAGCCACCUGCAGCUGGGCGGGCAACUUUGUGAAGAAUGUCCCGAUGAACCACGGCGUGUACACGUGGCCGGACGGCAGCAUGUAUGAAGGCGAAGUGGUCAACGGCAUGAGGAACGGAUUCGGGAUGUUCAAGUGCAGCACCCAGCCUGUGUCCUACAUCGGCCACUGGUGCAAUGUUAUAAAUCUGGAAAUAUAUACGAAGGCCAGUGGGAAGACAACAUGCGCCACGGGGAGGGGAGGAUGAGGUGGCUGACCACCAACGAAGAGUACACCGGGCGGUGGGAGAGGGGCAUCCAGAAUGGCUUUGGAACACACACGUGGUUUCUAAAGAGAAUCCGCAGUUCCCAGUAUCCUUUGAGAAAUGAAUACAUAGGGGAGUUUGUAAAUGGAUAUCGUCACGGACGUGGCAAGUUUUAUUAUGCCAGUGGAGCCACGUAUGAUGGAGAAUGGGUUUCCAAUAAGAAACAUGGCAUGGGCCGAUUAACUUUCAAGAACGGGCGUGUGUACGAAGGCGCAUUCUCCAAUGACCACAUAGCUGGGUUUCCAGAUCUUGAAGUUGAAUUCAUCAGCUGCCUGGACCUAUCUUCAGGAGUUGCCCCAAGAUUGUCCAGGAGCGCCGAACUGAUCAGAAAGCUUGAUGGCAGUGAAAGUCAUUCUGUGUUGGGAUCGAGCAUUGAGUUGGAUCUAAAUUUGCUCCUGGACAUGUACCCUGAGACAGUCCAACCUGAAGAAAAGAAGCAGGCAAUUUAUUCUGUGAGCAACAGCGGACGCUCUACUCUAUGAGUUACAUGAAUAAGUGCUGGGAGAUUUAUCUCGCCUACUGCAGACGCAGCGCAGCGCCUCCCCACGAGCCUACGAUGAAGAUGAGACACUUCCUCUGGAUGCUGAAAGACUUUAAAAUGAUAAAUAAAGAAUUAACAGCAGCUACAUUUAUGGAGGUCAUAGCAGAGGAUAAUCCGUUCAUAUAUGAUGGAAUUGACAGCAACUUUGAACCUGAGGAUGCCCCGAACAAGAGUCUCAGCGCGGUCAUGAGCCACGAAUCGGAUGCUGCUCACUCUGACAGUGCCAGGUCAUCUUCCAGCAAGUUAGAACUCUCGCGUGAUGUUAACAAAAUAAGGAAAUCAGAG
This 1179-nucleotide small RNA is filed under the name Pan troglodytes (chimpanzee). RNAcentral describes it as "processed transcript". Lineage: Eukaryota; Metazoa; Chordata; Mammalia; Primates; Hominidae. The record is from RNAcentral.